RNAcentral lists this long non-coding RNA (299 nucleotides) under Trifolium pratense (red clover). RNAcentral's name for it is "long non-coding RNA (TPRA_LNC013994)". The record is from RNAcentral. Lineage: Eukaryota; Viridiplantae; Streptophyta; Magnoliopsida; Fabales; Fabaceae.
UCGAGUUUGUCGAAAUCACAGUUGAUGAUGUUGUUGUUCUUGAAAAAGUGAUAAAAAGAGGUUUUUCUUUUGUUUGUAACAGUCUAACAGAUGCACUCUCAUCAUAAAGUAAAACAAACAAAAGAAUAUGGUACUGACAGUCCAUUGUAAGACAUUUGAUCUAAUAGUUAAAAAUACAUUUUUUAGGCGGAGGACCUACUAUCCUUAUCCACGCUAGACUUUGCCGGAGAACAAACCAAGGAAAACAACCAUGGAUCCUGCGUGAAGAUGAUUUGGAGACAAUAGAGGAUGAAGAUGAU